Molecule: long non-coding RNA, 636 nt
Organism: Felis catus (domestic cat)
Lineage: Eukaryota; Metazoa; Chordata; Mammalia; Carnivora; Felidae
Exons: 2
Source: RefSeq, a predicted model, not a curated record
GCGUGCGGGGGACGCUGGGGACAGGAAGACACUGUCUGUACCCACCGCACAGCUGUGACCGCGAAGUAGGGGUUCCCUCUCGGAAGCGUCUGUGUCGGGAUGUGUACCUGGCGCGUGCGCCUCAAAUGCGGUUGAGAAUCUGAAGCCCUGGGGACUUAGGGCCGCAGUUGGGAAACAGAUCCAAGCUGGUGGAAUCAUGUGAUGCAUCCGAUUUGAUCCCCUCCUGGCAGGUCAGCCUAGCACGAUUCCAGCAUCGUGGGAGAGAGUGGCUCCGGCUGCUCUUCCGGAUUCCUGCUUCCGCCCGUCACGCUUCCCUCCCCACCACAUCCCUUCCACCACCGGACCCCAAUGUCCCAGCACUGGGAGUCUGCAUUUCUUUUGUUACCUUCACAGUGUUGACACAACACGCUUACUUUAUUUCCAUCAUUUUCUGACAAAGGGAAGCAUAGGGGACACAGUCUGGGUCCUGCUCGCCAUCUGCCUCCCCUGUAAUGGCGCUUGCAGUGCUGUGUGUAGCUGAGCGCGAUGAGCAGAAUUCUGGGCUUUUUACAGAUGAAGGCAGACAGCAAGAGGGGCUGAUAUUUAUUCAAACUCCAUCCAUACAAUAAAGAACUCUGAUUUUUUAAAUUUCAUUUA